AACGUCGUGAGACAGUUUGGUCCCUAUCUGCCGUGGGUGUUCGAGAAUUGAGAGGAGCUGCUCCUAGUACGAGAGGACCGGAGUGGACAUGUCACUAGUGUACCGGUUGUGACGCCAGUCGCAGCGCCGGGUAGCCAUAACAUGGAAAAGAUAACCGCUGAAAGCAUCUAAGCGGGAAACUUGCCUCAAAAUUAGUUCUCGCCAUUAGAGCCGUGGAAGACUACCACGUUGAUAGGCCGGAUGUGGAAGCGCAGUAAUGCGUGAAGCUAACCGGUACUAAUAGCUCGAUUGGCUUGAUACA
Molecule: ribosomal RNA, 301 nt
Filed under: Holosporaceae bacterium
Lineage: Bacteria; Pseudomonadati; Pseudomonadota; Alphaproteobacteria; Holosporales; Holosporaceae
Description: partial 23S ribosomal RNA
Rfam family: Bacterial large subunit ribosomal RNA
Source: RNAcentral